Molecule: unclassified non-coding RNA, 227 nt
Filed under: Hevea brasiliensis (rubber tree)
Lineage: Eukaryota; Viridiplantae; Streptophyta; Magnoliopsida; Malpighiales; Euphorbiaceae
Source: RNAcentral
CAUGCGUUAAGCUAGCAUUGGGCUUAAGGAUGUCCUUGAUACAAGGUUAAAAUUGAGGAUUAAGUUUUCUAAAGAGAGUAAUUGUAACUUAGCCCCUAAAUUCAACCUUGAGAAACUAAGGGGGUAAGUUAACAAUUAACCAUCUCCUAUGGGAGAAAGGCAUACCAAAAUAGUUUGCCAUCAACAAUGAACAAGAUAUGGAUUCAAUCCAAUCAAACAUGAGCAUA